UACGGGAGGCAGCAGUGGGGAAUAUUGCACAAUGGGCGCAAGCCUGAUGCAGCCAUGCCGCGUGUAUGAAAAAGGCCUUCGGGUUGUACAGUACUUUCAGUCGUGAGGAAGGUGUUAAGGUUAAUAACCUUAGCAAUUGACGUUAGCGACAGAAGAAGCACCGGCUAACUCCGUGCCAGCAGCCGCGGUAAUACGGAGGGUGCGAGCGUUAAUCGGAAUUACUGGGCGUAAAGGGCACGCAGGCGGUUAAUUAAGUUGGAUGUGAAAUCCCCGGGCUUAACCUGGGAAUGGCAUUCAAGACUGGUUAGCUAGAGUCUUGUAGAGGGGGGUAGAAUUCCAUGUGUAGCGGUGAAAUGCGUAGAGAUGUGGAGGAAUACCGGUGGCGAAGGCGGCCCCUGGACAAAGACUGACGCUCAUGUGCGAAAGCGUGGGGAGCAAACGAGGGAUUAGAUACC
RNAcentral lists this ribosomal RNA (455 nucleotides) under uncultured bacterium. RNAcentral's name for it is "bacterial SSU rRNA". It matches the Rfam family "Bacterial small subunit ribosomal RNA", at positions 340 to 786 of the family's 1533-position model. The record is from RNAcentral.